This 249-nucleotide unclassified non-coding RNA is filed under the name Hevea brasiliensis (rubber tree). The record is from RNAcentral. Lineage: Eukaryota; Viridiplantae; Streptophyta; Magnoliopsida; Malpighiales; Euphorbiaceae.
AGUGAGGCAGACCUCCUUCAUCAGGUGAAUGUGAUUAUCUAAUCUUGAAGUGUAAAAUAAGGUACUAAGAAAUUAAGAAUACCACGAACUGCUCUUAAUUACCCUAUAGUGUGUUAGAUACAAAAUUUAUGUGUGAAAAGAAAAGGGAAAAUAUAAUUAGAAUUGAAAAGGAAGAUAAUAUUGUGAGUAUGAACUAUGAACCAUUUAAGUCCAAAGAACUGAAGUUUAGCAACUGGCCAAUUUUUUGAA